Trifolium pratense (red clover) is the source of this 84-nucleotide small nucleolar RNA. RefSeq annotates it as small nucleolar RNA Z161/Z228. The record is from RefSeq and is a predicted model, not a curated record. The transcript has a single exon. NCBI's taxonomy places the organism in Eukaryota, Viridiplantae, Streptophyta, Magnoliopsida, Fabales, Fabaceae.
AAACCAUAUGAUGAAUCUGGAUUUUCAACUCACGACGGUCGUCUGAGUUUCACUUGAUGUAUUGAUCCUAUUUUUCUGAUGGUU